CGGGACGGGUGAGUAAUGUCUGGGAAACUGCCCGAUGGAGGGGGAUAACUACUGGAAACGGUAGCUAAUACCGCAUAACGUCGCAAGACCAAAGAGGGGACCUUCGGGCCUCUUGCCAUCGGAUGUGCCCAGAUGGGAUUAGCUAGUAGGUGGGGUAACGGCUCACCUAGGCGACGAUCCCUAGCUGGUCUGAGAGGAUGAUCAGCCACACUGGGACUGAGACACGGCCCAG
RNAcentral lists this ribosomal RNA (232 nucleotides) under uncultured bacterium. RNAcentral's name for it is "partial 16S ribosomal RNA". It matches the Rfam family "Bacterial small subunit ribosomal RNA", at positions 100 to 334 of the family's 1533-position model. The record is from RNAcentral.